CCCAGCAGCAGUCAGCUGUGCAGGUCUGUGCCGUGCCUGCCUCAGUGUUACUCUGCUGGUAGAGGAAGGUGCUGCCACUAGGCCUGGGCUCUAGGAGGCGCUGUUCUAGUGUCUCCUGAUGGCCAGCCAUGGCAGAACCAUGCCCCCCUGAGAGUGGACAGUCCCCCCACGCAUGCGGGAUGGCCCUAGUUCGGGGGCUUACAGC
Molecule: small nucleolar RNA, 205 nt
Organism: Brienomyrus brachyistius
Lineage: Eukaryota; Metazoa; Chordata; Actinopteri; Osteoglossiformes; Mormyridae
Product: small nucleolar RNA SNORA74
Exons: 1
Source: RefSeq, a predicted model, not a curated record